Drosophila sechellia is the source of this 1384-nucleotide long non-coding RNA. RefSeq lists it as uncharacterized. The record is from RefSeq and is a predicted model, not a curated record. The transcript has 4 exons. Lineage: Eukaryota; Metazoa; Arthropoda; Insecta; Diptera; Drosophilidae.
AGUAGGCAUUGAACGAAAUUUCAAUCACAAGAGGCACGGACUCGCAAGCAAAACCCUCAGUUCUACUUUCGCUCCCAAGGGGAAUACACAGCAUUAAAAAUUAUAAACCAGUUCACCCAACAUUAAAAAAGUUUUCAAAACACUUUCGAGAACGGGCUGUAUGUUACUCAGCAACAGAAACGAAAAUAUACUCAGCAAAAGAAGUCCGAAUCCAUAAUAGUGUGAUGUCAAGGCGCAUAAGUUGUGUGCAUAUGAUGCAAAAUACAAUUGACAUUCAUAAGCAAGUUUAUGAUUUAUGAAACACAGUCAGAGUGCCCUGUAUUCAAUGAGAAGCAAUUUAAAAGUGGUUCAAAACUGCGGCACGCCCACACUUUUGAACAAUUUUUAAAUUUUCCAAUUUUUUUCAAUAAUAUCCCAGAUUCUUCUCUUUUUUUCAUGUCGAUACAGGGUGCUGUAUCUGUUUCAUAAGUCAUAAAUUUUUUUUAUGAGUGCAAAAAUUAGUUUUAAUACUAUUUACACCUUUCAACGCCGUGGCAUCACAAUAUUAUGGAUACGUACAUAUCUUUUGCCGACCCGUCCUUGGAAGGUGUUUAAGAACUAUUUUGAUGUUGGGUACACUGUUAUAUAUUUUUGAUGACUUUUUUUUUGGGUGUGUGAAAGUUGCAGAGCCGAGAAAUAAAUUUGUGCAACUGAUCUUUGCCGAGCUUAAAGGUGCGUGCAUAAAAUCCGACAACUGCAUUUUGUGAAUUUUGGCCCGAAAUUUGGGAGACAUAUACUAGAUAGCUCAUAGCUGCGCCAGGGAAGGUCUGGAGGCUCUUGUCCCGAAUUAUGAGAUGUUCGCUGCUGCUAAGCCUGAAUCCAAUUCGUUCUAUCCGUUUCUUUUCUAAUUAACAUCCGGUGGAGUUCACAAGUAUUUAAGUUGCUUCCCGUAUUCUAAAAUUUUAUACAAGCGGAGCCUAAGCAAUUUCAGGUCACGAAAAGUACCAGCGAAGGUAGCAAGGUAACCGUCUGGCGUCGGCCAGUAUUGAAGUCAGAGUUUAGAUCUGGGAGACCCCCCAAGUGUUCAGCAAAUACACUCAUCCAGCGGAUUGAACCCGAGGAGCACAUGACGGGCUAGGAAGGAUCAUAUGAAUGUAGUGCAGUUUCUUCAGUGGACGGCUAUGCAGUUGCGGAGAAUUUUCUUGGAGUUUGGCAGUGAUCGAUGGUUCAAAUGACCCUUUAAAACAAAUUUCAAUAAUGUGCCUUGACCUUGACCUACAUCGCAUGGCAAGAUUUUUUCUAUGAUUUUUAAAUGUGCACUUUUGCUGAAGCCAAGAAUAAUGAGAACUGUCAUUGAAAUUAUAAACAAGAAAAAUAUUAUAAUAAAAUAUUUAAGUAAAUCCAA